RNAcentral lists this long non-coding RNA (639 nucleotides) under Homo sapiens (human). Lineage: Eukaryota; Metazoa; Chordata; Mammalia; Primates; Hominidae. The record is from RNAcentral.
CCUUUCUCCCCGCCGCAUUCCCGGUGUCGACUUACUAGCUGCAAGCCUCUGCCUGCCUUCCUGCGCGCCGUUCCCCGCUAGUCGCUGCUGCUGGCGCGCACUCGCCGGGUUUUUCCUCCCACGGCCUCGAGAUGGUGGUGAAUGUGGCACGGAGGAGCCGGGCCUUCCAACCCGGUGGGCCCGAGCUCCGAAAGGCCCCCUCGGCAGUGAGAGGGGCGGGAGCCCGCGGGGGCCGCGCCCUUCUCUCGCUUCGGACUGCGCAACGCUGCGCUCUGGGCUGACAGAUGAAGACUCUUAAGAUGACAGAAGGUGAUUUUUCUGGUGAUCGAGGACUUCCGGGGUAAUGACAGUGAUGAAAUGCAGGGGACCUGGUUGCCCCCAAGUUUCCUGGCAGUGUGUGAUACUGAGGAGGUGAGCUUGUUUCUGGAGCUGUGCUUUAAGAUUCAUGUUACAUGUAAAGCUGUCCUCAUUUGUGACUAUGGACCUAUGGAGUUGGGACAAUCUCUAUGGGAAGCAGAAGGCAAGGACCCCGGUCAUUUUAGGUAGAAACAACAGCAUGCUAAUGCAAAAAAUUAUGCAGUGUGCUACUGAACUUCAGAGGUGAUCAAUAAAAGAAGAAUAAAAAGACUAAUAAAAGUA